Molecule: ribosomal RNA, 517 nt
Filed under: uncultured bacterium
Lineage: Bacteria
Description: bacterial SSU rRNA
Rfam family: Bacterial small subunit ribosomal RNA
Source: RNAcentral
UGGGGAAUCUUGGACAAUGGGGGCAACCCUGAUCCAGCCAUGCCGCGUGAGUGAUGAAGGCCUUAGGGUCGUAAAGCUCUUUCGCCUGUGAAGAUAAUGACGGUAGCAGGUAAAGAAACCCCGGCUAACUCCGUGCCAGCAGCCGCGGUAAUACGGAGGGGGUUAGCGUUGUUCGGAAUUACUGGGCGUAAAGCGCACGUAGGCGGAUCGGAAAGUUGGGGGUGAAAUCCCGGGGGCUCAACCCCGGAACUGCCUCCAAAACUAUCGGUCUAGAGUUCGAGAGAGGUGAGUGGAAUUCCGAGUGUAGAGGUGAAAUUCGUAGAUAUUCGGAGGAACACCAGUGGCGAAGGCGGCUCACUGGCUCGAUACUGACGCUGAGGUGCGAAAGUGUGGGGAGCAAACAGGAUUAGAUACCCUGGUAGUCCACACCGUAAACGAUGAAUGCCAGUCGUCGGGUAGCAUGCUAUUCGGUGACACACCUAACGGAUUAAGCAUUCCGCCUGGGGAGUACGGUCGC